GUGCUCCAACCUUAUCAUUUUCCUCUUGCCUGUCUUUCUUCUCAACCAUCUUGUCUACCUCAUCUGCUGAUUCUAGUUUAUCAGAUUCAAAAUCCUCAGAAUUCAUCCCAGUAUCUGCGAUGUUUGAUGCAAAAACUUCGCCCAUUUUCGCAUCAAUUUCUUCUGUGGCAUCUCCAUUUUUAAUUUCCUUCUUUACAAUGUUCUGCUUCUCCUUUCCUUCAUCACUUGUUUUCCCUAACGUAUCCACCUCUGGUACUUCAAUCUCCUGGCCUGGUCCUAGAAUAUCAUUCCUUAUAGUUGUCUCUGCCUCUGGAGUUUUCUCUUCCACCAAUUCUUUCAUAUUUUCUUCUUUGCUGUGUCCCUUUUGUUCCUUAGAAUGUUGUUCUUCCUUCUCUUGAAGCUUUAUUAAGUUUCUGUCUUCACUAUGUCUUCUCACCUUAGUAUUUCCCCCUUCAUUUAUCUUGUCAACCUCAUCUGCUUCUAGUUUAUCAGAUUCAAACUCUUCAUCAUUUUUCUCAGUUUCUGCAAUUUCAUCAUCACCAACUACUUGUGUUCUAUCAAUGUUUGGUCUGAAUCCUUCUCCCAUUGCCCCAUCAACCUCUUCUUUGACAUCCCUAUUUUUUUUAUCCAUCUUUACAACUUUUUUCUUCUCAUGACCACUUGUUUCUCCAUCCACCAUUUCUGAAAUCUUGCUUUCUUCAUUGUGUCUCUCUGGUUCUUCAAUCCCUUGAACCUUUCUCAAGCCAUCACCAACAUCAUCAGUCAUUUCCUUUUCCAUUGCUCCACUUGUACUUGUUCUAUCUAAAACAUCAGAUUCUUGUUCUUCAAUCUCUUCAAAUGCUCUGGAUCCAAAAUCAUCACUAUCAUCACUCUCUGCUUGAACCAGUUGUUUAUUAUUCUCUUGUUCCUCAUGUCUUGUCUGUUCAUGACAUUCUCUUCCUUCAAUGUCCGGAGGCUUUCUUAAGCUACUGUCCACACUCUCUUUAUUUGAAUCAGCCAAUCCUUUUUCUUCUUCUAUACGUUCAUCAAUCUGGUGACUCUUCUCUAAGUAAUCAUCCUUUAGUUCCCCCUUCUCUGUUUCCUCUUUAUGCUCAGCUUCACUCACAUCCACUCUUUCUUCUUCUUCUUCUUCUUCUUCUUCUUCUUCCUCAAUCUUAAAUCCAGAGAUUCCUUUUACUCUUUUCGGCAUUGUGAUCGUAAGAGUCGCAUCAUCGUCAUCAAACCUCGCUUUAAUCUUGUCUAAAUCGACAGUAUCAGGAAUCCUAAAAACUUUCUUGAAAACACUAAAUUCCACUUCUUUCCUCCAUGCCAUCCAUCUAAUCAUAACCAUUUCUUCCACUGGUUUUCUU
Long non-coding RNA from Arabidopsis thaliana (thale cress), 1349 nucleotides. RefSeq annotates it as other RNA. The transcript has a single exon. The record is from RefSeq. Lineage: Eukaryota; Viridiplantae; Streptophyta; Magnoliopsida; Brassicales; Brassicaceae.